Molecule: ribosomal RNA, 182 nt
Filed under: uncultured bacterium
Lineage: Bacteria
Description: partial 16S ribosomal RNA
Rfam family: Bacterial small subunit ribosomal RNA
Source: RNAcentral
UCAUGAAGCUGGAAUUGCUAGUAAUGGCAGGUCAGCAUACUGCCGUGAAUACGUUCCCGGGCCUUGUACACACCGCCCGUCACACCAUGAGAGUUGGAAAUACCCGAAGCCUGUGAGCUAACUUAAAGAGGCAGCAGUCGAAGGUAGAGCCAAUGAUUGGGGUGAAGUCGUAACAAGGUACC